UUAAAAGGGUGCGCAGCCGGAUAAUAAGUCAGUAGUGAAAUCCUGCAGCUCAACUGUAGAACUGCUAUUGAUACUGUUAAUCUUGAGUAUAGUUGAGGUGGCCGGAAUGUAUGAUGUACCGGUGAAAUGCUUAGAUAUCAUACCAGAAACACCAAUUGCGAAGGCAGCUCACUAAACUGUAACUGACGCUGAGGCACGAAAGCGUGGGGAGCGAACAGGAUUAGAUACCCUNNGGUAGUCCAACGCNUGUAAACGAUGAUCACUCGCUGUUGGCAAUACAUCGUCAGUGGCUGAGCAAAAGCAUUAAGUGAUCCACCUGGGGAGUACGUCGGCAACGAUGGAAACUUCAAAGGAAUUGACGGGGGCCCGCACCCAAGCGGUGGAACAUGUGGUUUAAUUCGAUGAUACGCGAGGAACCUUACCUGGGCUUAAAUGCAGAACGACGGNNUUCCCGANNAAAGGNGAUCCUUCUUCGGACGGUCUGCAAGGUGCUGCAUGGUUGUCGUCAGCUCGUGCCGUGAGGUGUCGGGGUUAAGUCCCAUAACGAGCGCAACCCCUAUUGUUAGUUGCCAGCGAGUAAUGUCGGGGACUCUAACGAAACUGCCGGUGUAACCCGAGAGGAAGGUGGGGAUGACGUCAAAUCAGCACGGCCCUUAUGUCCAGGGCUACACACGUGUUACAAUGUCGGUACAGAGGAGUAUGCGACAAGUUGCAAUCUCGAAACCGUCUAGUUCGGAUUGAAUUGCAACUCGACUUCAUGAAGCUGGAAUCGUAGUAUCGCGCAUCA
This 787-nucleotide ribosomal RNA is filed under the name uncultured organism. Its description in RNAcentral is "bacterial SSU rRNA". It matches the Rfam family "Bacterial small subunit ribosomal RNA", at positions 559 to 1351 of the family's 1533-position model. The record is from RNAcentral.